Molecule: ribosomal RNA, 321 nt
Filed under: Clostridioides difficile
Lineage: Bacteria; Bacillati; Bacillota; Clostridia; Peptostreptococcales; Peptostreptococcaceae
Description: partial 23S ribosomal RNA
Rfam family: Bacterial large subunit ribosomal RNA
Source: RNAcentral
GUAAGGACAUGUGGACAGUAUGGGAGUGAGAAUGUUGGCAUGAGUAGCGAGAUGUGGGUGAGAAUCCCACAGGCCGUAAACCCAAGGUUUCCAGGGGAAGGUUCGUCCGCCCUGGGUUAGUCGGGACCUAAGCUGAGGCCGAAAGGCGUAGGUGAUGGACAACAGGUUGAUAUUCCUGUACUACCGAUCACCGUUUGAGAGAUGGGAUGACACAGUAGGAUAAGCUAAGCACACUGUUGGUUAUGUGUGCCCAAGCAUUGAGGCAGUCAGAGUAGGUAAAUCCGCUUUGAUAAUGCUGGGAUGUGAUGGGGAGCGAAAUUU